Molecule: unclassified non-coding RNA, 88 nt
Filed under: Chryseobacterium sp. RU37D
Lineage: Bacteria; Pseudomonadati; Bacteroidota; Flavobacteriia; Flavobacteriales; Weeksellaceae
Description: Flavo-1 RNA
Source: RNAcentral
CCCUAGCCCCGAUUGCAAUGAAAAAUCCCGCAAUGGAGCGGCGCAGCCUCGUCGUAAUGAGGAAUUGUAAUGAAAAGCGGGAAAAGCU